ACUUUCAACAACGGAUCUCUUGGUUCUCGCAUCGAUGAAGAACGCAGCGAAAUGCGAUAAGUAAUAUGAAUUGCAGAUUUUCGUGAAUCAUCGARUCUUUGAACGCACAUUGCGCCCUUUGGUAUUCCAAAGGGCAUGCCUGUUUGAGCGUCAUUU
Molecule: ribosomal RNA, 156 nt
Filed under: uncultured fungus
Lineage: Eukaryota; Fungi
Description: 5.8S ribosomal RNA
Rfam family: 5.8S ribosomal RNA
About the family: 5.8S ribosomal RNA (5.8S rRNA) is a component of the large subunit of the eukaryotic ribosome. It is transcribed by RNA polymerase I as part of the 45S precursor that also contains 18S and 28S rRNA.
Source: RNAcentral